Molecule: ribosomal RNA, 1437 nt
Filed under: uncultured bacterium
Lineage: Bacteria
Description: bacterial SSU rRNA
Rfam family: Bacterial small subunit ribosomal RNA
Source: RNAcentral
AGGGUUUGAUCCUGGCUCAGAACGUACGCUGGCGGCACGCCUAAUACAUGCAAGUCGAACGAAGUAGCAAUACUUAGUGGCAGACGGGUGAGUAAUAUGUAGGUAUCUUCCCAUUGGUGAGGAAUAACACGAGGAAACUUGUGCUAAUACCUCAUAAGUCUUUACGGAGAAAGCUUUAUGCGCCGAUGGAUGAGCCUGCACUUGAUUAGUUUGUUGGUAGGGUAAUGGCCUACCAAGACAAUGAUCAAUAGCUGAUUUGAGAGGAUGAUCAGCCACAUUGGGACUGAGACACGGCCCAAACUCCUACGGGAGGCAGCAGUAGGGAAUCUUGCACAAUGGGGGAAACCCUGAUGCAGCGAUGCCGCGUGAGUGAAGAAGGCCUUUGGGUUGUAAAGCUCUUUCGUCGGGGAAGAAAAUGACUGUACCCGAAUAAGAAGGUCCGGCUAACUUCGUGCCAGCAGCCGCGGUAAUACGAAGGGACCUAGCGUAGUUCGGAAUUACUGGGCUUAAAGAGUUCGUAGGUGGUUAAAAAAGUUGGUGGUGAAAUCCCAGAGCUUAACUCUGGAACUGCCAUCAAAACUUUUUAGCUAGAGUAUGAUAGAGGAAAGCAGAAUUUCUAGUGUAGAGGUGAAAUUCGUAGAUAUUAGAAAGAAUACCGAUUGCGAAGGCAGCUUUCUGGAUCAUUACUGACACUGAGGAACGAAAGCAUGGGUAGCGAAGAGGAUUAGAUACCCUCGUAGUCCAUGCCGUAAACGAUGUGUGUUAGACGUUGGAAAUUUAUUUUCUGUGUCGCAGCGAAAGCAAUAAACACACCGCCUGGGGAGUACGACCGCAAGGUUAAAACUCAAAUGAAUUGACGGGGACCCGCACAAGUAGUGGAGCAUGUGGUUUAAUUCGAAGAUACGCGCAGAACCUUACCAACACUUGACAUGUUCGUCGCGACUUUAAGAGAUUAAAGUUUUCGGUUCGGCCGGACGAAACACAGGUGCUGCAUGGCUGUCGUCAGCUCGUGUCGUGAGAUGUUGGGUUAAGUCCCGCAACGAGCGCAACCCUCACUUUUAGUUGCCAUCAUUUAGUUGGGCACUCUGAAAGAACUGCCAGUGAUAAGCUGGAGGAAGGUGGGGAUGACGUCAAGUCCUCAUGGCCCUUACGUGUUGGGCUACACACGUGCUACAAUGGCAUUUACAAUAGGAAGCAAGACGGCGACGUUUAGCAAAUCCUAAAAAAAUGCCUCAGUUCGGAUUGUACUCUGCAACUCGAGUACAUGAAGCUGGAAUUACUAGUAAUCGCGGAUCAGCGCGCCGCGGUGAAUACGUUCCCGGGUCUUGUACACACCGCCCGUCACACCAUGGGAGUUGGUUCUACCUUAAGGCAAAGUUUAAUACCUUUGACCACGGUAUAGUCAGCGACUGGGGUGAAGUCAUAACAAGGUAGCCG